Molecule: non-coding RNA, 73 nt
Organism: Trichonephila clavata
Lineage: Eukaryota; Metazoa; Arthropoda; Arachnida; Araneae; Nephilidae
Source: the annotation of a GenBank genome assembly
GUCCCUGUAGUACAAUGUACGGAGCGUUGGAUUUCUAAUCCAAAGGUAGUGGGUUUGAAUCCCACCUGGGAUG